Molecule: transfer RNA, 72 nt
Filed under: Saprolegnia parasitica CBS 223.65
Lineage: Eukaryota; Oomycota; Saprolegniomycetes; Saprolegniales; Saprolegniaceae
Description: tRNA-Pro
Rfam family: tRNA
About the family: Transfer RNA (tRNA) molecules are approximately 80 nucleotides in length. Their secondary structure includes four short double-helical elements and three loops (D, anti-codon, and T loops). Further hydrogen bonds mediate the characteristic L-shaped molecular structure. tRNAs have two regions of fundamental functional importance: the anti-codon, which is responsible for specific mRNA codon recognition, and the 3' end, to which the tRNAs corresponding amino acid is attached (by aminoacyl-tRNA synthetases). tRNAs cope with the degeneracy of the genetic code in two manners: having more than one tRNA (with a specific anti-codon) for a particular amino acid; and 'wobble' base-pairing, i.e. permitting non-standard base-pairing at the 3rd anti-codon position.
Source: RNAcentral
GGCCCUGUGGUCUAGUGGUAUGAUUCCUGCUUAGGGUGCAGGAGGUCCCGAUUUCGAUCAUCGGCAGGGCCC